Molecule: long non-coding RNA, 3508 nt
Organism: Cyprinus carpio (common carp)
Lineage: Eukaryota; Metazoa; Chordata; Actinopteri; Cypriniformes; Cyprinidae
Exons: 2
Source: RefSeq, a predicted model, not a curated record
AUUGUAUUAGUAUUUUACAAUUUGGCUGCCAUCAAAUAAAUGCAGCCUUGGUGCGUGAGAGACGUGUGUAUAUAUACUGUAUAUAUUCUUCUGUGAGUGAAAAAAUGAAAGCUUUUGUAUUCAGGUACAGAAUGUGUUCUGGGGAUAAUCCACUUUGUUCUGUGAUCCUGUGUGGUGUGUGACUGUGAAAACAGUCACGGUUUGUUUGAAUCUCUCGGGACAGGAGCCAGCAGGCAGGUUGUGCUGGUUUAGGCAGAAGUUUAUGCAUCACUGCAGUAGUCAGAGGUCAGUGUUUGAGCGCUUUUUACAGAUCUGUGUCGUUACAGUAAUUACAAUCACUGCAGGUCUCAAGCACACUAGGAACUCUGCUUAGGGAAGCGAACCGGACAAGAUGUGAGAAACAUGAAAUUUACAAUCAGCACAACUGAUAUUUUGGCUAAACUGCAAAUCAGACUUCCUAUGGCUCUCUCCCUUUCUCUAUAAUCUUUCUCUCUGCUCUGGUGAUGUUGGAUGGUGUGUUAACGGAAUUUAAGAGAUUAGUUUGCGUUAACGGCUUAGUGUAAGCUAAGAUGCAACACUUCCCCUUUCUUUCCAUCUGUCUCUCUGCAGGAAAACAGGUUCUGGAAAAUAGCAUUUAAAGAAUACAGUUCCUAAUGCAAAUUGUUUUUCUGUAUUAUUCACAUAAUUAUGACUUCUACAAUAUGAGACAACAGAACAAAAAAACGCUGAUUAGAAAAUGAGUGGGAGUUUCAUCAGAAGAAGAGAACUGAAGAUAUAUAGACAACUUCUGUACUGGAGAAGAAUUUCCGCCAUUAAAACAAUAGGAGAGUAGGAAAUGUUCUGCUGCUGUUUCUGGGGUCCUUGCAAGAGGUGUUCACUCAAGUGCCUUUAACUGCAUUUACUGAAAUAACCACAGUGGAGGAAGACCUAGGAAGCGGUCUGUUGGAAGGUGUAAAGGCAGACACCAGGAGCUCAAGAGCGACAACUGUGGUCUGUCCAUGCAGUGGAAUUCAUUGGCAACCAAAAUAGUUACCGGCAUACUUGUGUGAACUGCAACUUUUUAUGCGUUUCAUGAGUUUUGUCUCAUGUUUAAUCUUCUGUCAUUUUCUUUUCCCUAGUGAAUUGUGGAAAGCCUGAUGUGGACUUUAAUGGGAUGGUGUAUGGGAGUGAUUGGUGGGUGGGUUCUGUAGUGUGAUACAACUGCAGGCCAGGGUUCGUGUUGGUGGGAGAUCCUGCCCGAGCCUCUCAGUCCAAUGGGAAAUGGAUGCCCAAACUGUCCUGUCUCAGUUAGUCCUGGUCUGGCUGGACGUUGCACACAAAUUAUGCAAUUGCCCAAAAAGUGCACACAAAACUGAGACUUAAUCUGUCUUAAGUCUCAUAUAUGUAUAGUAUAUGAGAGACAGAACACUAACUAGAGUUGUUAUUGUCAGUACUGUUACUUUGAGAGGUGUUAAAAAUAAUUCUUCAAAGUUACCACACACUGUAAGAAAAAAAAUCCAUAGAAAAAUGGAAAAGGUACUGGAAAUAUUCUGUCAGGACUUUAUCUGCACUCCCUGCAGUAAGUUUUUAUAGAGUCAUUUAAAUUGUGGCUAGUUGAAACAAGUGGCAAAUACUGUAACUGCAGUAAAUCAAUGAUUUUGUUUGUUCCCUCAGCCUCUACAUGAUAGAAAACAGUGAAUCUGUAUUCAUUUUCCUUUUCUACAAAAGCCUAAACAUUCGGAAAUGCUUCUGUUUUUCCCUUAUGUGUGUAUGGUAGUACAGAGAUGACCUCGUAAUGUUGUUACCCUCUGAGCAUAAGCCAGGUGAAGAGGGAGCUCUAUGAGUGCUGAAUAUACAUUUGAUUGUAUCUAGUUAGUUAGUCACAAUUGUGGAAAGUAAAGAGACACAUUUCAGUUCCAUAAGUGAUUUUAUUAGAACAUUAUGCUUCUGCAGAUACAACGGAAUUAUAAGUUUAUUCAUUCACUUCAUGAUUGAUACAAGAUUAAUGUAUGGUAUUAAUAUAGUUAUAUAAUAAGAGUUGAAUCAGCAUGAGAGAGGUCUCAUUUAUAACCAUAAAUGUGAAAGCAGAAAAAUCUCCUUUUAGUCCCAAGAGGUGAAAUUCAUGAUGAAAUUCUCAUUUUUCUUGGGUUGGUAGCAGCCAAUUCCUGUAAAAGAUUGAGGGAAAAAAAUAAUAUCUUUUAUAUUUGUGUUGUAAAUAAAGUGAAACCAAAAUACUAAGAAAACUGUCUUGCUCCAAUAUAUUUGCACACAUAUUCAGACAUAAAGUCUGUUAUAUAAUUAAACUGAUACACUUACCCACGUUCAGUCGAGUUAUAGUGUUUCCUUUCUUCGACAGAAGCUCCCAGUAUGUGUGGUUUUCAGUAGAUCCAGCCAGUCCGUUCACGCUCUGCAGAUAUAUGCCAUAGCUUUUGCUAAUGGUGUAGGUGAAGCUAAAAGAAAUACAUGUAGCAAUAUUAGCACAAAAAAAUGAAAUUAGCACUACAACAGUUCCUUAUAGCCCUGAACCUUGUACAAUAUACCGACAUGGUAAAAGAUGCCCUAUUUCCCCUUAACCUAUUGACCUACUAUACUAUGCUUGUUUUACGCCCUGUAAAGUACAUGAAACCAGAAUAAUUUGAUAAAAUUUUGUGCCAUACUUGAAGUUGUUGUUCGUGUCUUGUAGUUGAUUUAAGAUCCCAAACAUCGGCAUUCCCACUGUCGCAAUUGUUGAGUAGGAGAUGUUUGUGUUAUUAAAUCUGUUAAUGACAGUCACCCUAAUGGGGGUCGGUCUCUGCUUUCCUGUUAAGAAGAGAAAUUUUGUGCAAGAGAGUCUCAGAGAAUCCUAUUAAAUCAUACUUUUCAAAUGUUAUUUAGGAUGUUAGACCUAAAAGGAUUUGAAUUCAAUCAUGUUUCUCCUCGUUUGAAGCAGAAAUCAUGGUUUUAUAGAGCAAAACUCACCUGAGUGCUCAUCACUUCCCCCCAGCCCUGGGAAAGGCAGCAAGGCUGCAAAGCACAGAAGACUUAUCGCUGUCAGAGCCAUUCUAUCAGUCUGCCCAGUGUGUCUGAAUGUCUCUCACAACCGCACACCCAAUAUUUAUAUUUAUUUUUUUGCAUUCCAUCUUUAUAAGUCAUAUAAUUUCUGGGAAAGUCAUACCUUUAAAAGGAGUGGUCAGGCAAAGAACAUGACGAAAGAACAUCAGACAGACCUAUGAUAGUUGCAUUGAUUCUUUGUUUUUGUUUUCCAUUAACAUAUCCAGUCAUCACAUUACAGGAAACAAGGAAGAGAAUCUUUUUAGGAUUAUUCAUUGCAAAAGUACCAGGAAAUAAAUUAAUUAAUUUAACAAAGAGUUCACUGUUUUCAAAAAAAUAUUUUUGAAGAAAAACAUUCCACACUGUAAAAAAAAAUGUAAUAGAACUAGAAGCUCCCAGUAUGUGUGGUUAUACUGUAUGUGAAACUAAUAGCAGAAUUAACACACACACACAAAUUAAAUUAGCACUAUAGCAGUUCCUAAUUCUGAGGCUUGUACAA